CAGGGUGUGGCUGAGUAGAUAAGUAUCUCAUUUACACCGAGAGGACACCCAUGCAAUCUGGGUCACCCUGA
RNAcentral lists this transfer RNA (71 nucleotides) under Pethia gelius (golden barb). RNAcentral's name for it is "tRNA-Val". The record is from RNAcentral. Lineage: Eukaryota; Metazoa; Chordata; Actinopteri; Cypriniformes; Cyprinidae.